GGGGGGGGGGGGGGGGGGGGGGGGGGGGGGGGGGGGGGGGGGGGGGGGGGGGGGGGGGGGGGGGGGGGGGGGGGGGGGGGGGGGGGGGGGGGGGGGGGGGGGGGGGGGGGGGGGGGGGGGUGGUCCUUGAUGUCCCCAGAAUGGGCUGGGGGGUGGCACUGAACUGUGGGGUGUCCCCAGUGUCCCCAGAGCCGGCCCGGGGAUGGCACUGAACUGUGGGUGGUCCUCGAUGUCCCCAAACCCUCCCCGGGGGGUGGCACUGAACUGUGGGUGGUCCUUGAUGUCCCCAGAAUGGGCCCGGGGGUGGCACUGAACUGUGGGGUGUCCCCAGUGUCCCCAGAGCCGGCCCGGGGAUGGCACUGAACUGUGGGUGGUCCUCAGUGUCCCCAAACCCUCCCCGGGGGGUGGCACUGAAGUGUGGGGUGUCCCCAGUGUCCCCAAACCGUCCCCGGGGGGUGACACUGAACUGUGGGUGGUCCUUGAUGUCCCCAGAGCCAUCCUGGGGCGUGGCACUGAACUGUGGGUGGUCCCCAGUGUCCCCAGAGUGGGCCCGGGGGUGGCACUGAACUGUGGGUGGUCCCCAGAGCUGGCCUGGGGCGUGGCACUGAACUGUGGGGUGUCCCCAGUGUCCCCAAACCCUCCCCGGGGGGGUGGCACUGCCCACUAAUGAAUGGUGGGUGGCACUGAACCGUGGGUGGUCCUCGAUGUCCCCAGGUUCCCCCUGGGGGUGACAGGGAGGUGGCACUGCCCACCCAAUGAAUGGUGGGUGGUCCCUGAUGUCCCAAACCAACCCCCAGGGGGUGGCGCUGAAUUGUGGGUGGUCCUCAAUGUCCCCAAACCCUCCUCGGGGGGGGGGGGGGGGGGGGGGGGGGGGGGGGGGGGGGGGGGGGGGGGGGGGGGGGGGGGGGGGGGGGGGGGGGGGGGGGGGGGGGGGGGGGGGGGGGGGGGGGGGGGGGGGGGGGGGUGGCAGGGCAGGGUGGUGGCACUGCCCGCUGAAUGAAUGGUGGGUGGUCCCCGAUGUCCCCAACCCCCUGGGGUGUGGCACUGCCCACUGCCCACACAUCCCUGAUGUCCCCAAACCUGUCGUGGGGGGUGGCACUGCCCACUGCCCACACGUCCCUGGUGUCCCCAAACCGGUCCUGGGGUGUGGCAGGGGGGGGGGGGGGGGGGGGGGGGGGGGGGGGGGGGGGGGGGGGGGGGGGGGGGGGGGGGGGGGGGGGGGGGGGGGGGGGGGGGGGGGGGGGGGGGGGGGGGGGGGGGGGGGGGGGGGGGGGGGGGGGGGGGGGGGGGGGGGGGGGGGGGGGGGGGGGGGGGGGGGGGGGGUCCCCAGCCCCCUGGGGGGUGGCACUGCCCACGUGUCCCUGAUGUCCCCGCUCUGUCCCCUCAGUGAUGGACGGCUCGCUGCCCACCUCCCUGAAGCACAUCAUCAGCAACGCCGAGUACUACGGCCCCUCGCUCUUCCUGCUGGCGACCGAGGUGGUGACGGUGUUCGUGUUCCAGGAGCCCUCGCUGCUGUCCUCGCUGCAGGACAACGGCCUCACCGACGUCAUGCUGCACGCGCUGCUCAUCAAGGACGUGAGUCACCUCUGCUGUCACCUGUCCUACCUGUCACCUGUGCUACCUGUCACCUGUCCUACCUGUCCCCUGUGCUGUCACCUGUCCUACCUGUCACCUGUCCCUUCCCCUGUCACCUGUGUUACCUGUCCCCCUGUGUAUCCCCUCACUGAUGUCAUGCUGUAUGCCUUGCUCAUCGAGGACGUGAGUCUGCCUCACCUGUCCUACACCUGUCACCUUACCUGUCGCCUGUCCUGUCACCUGUCCUGCCACCUGUCCUGCCUGUCUUGUUACCUGUGCUACCUGUCCCCUCACCUGUGCUACCUGUCAUUACGUGUCCCUCUGUGUAUCCCCUCACCGACGUCAUUGUCAUGCUGUAUGCCUUGCUCAUCGAGGACGUGAGUCUGCCUCACCUGUCCUACACCUGUCACCUUACCUGUCGCCUGUCCUGUCACCUGUCCUGCCACCUGUCCUGCCUGUCUUGUUACCUGUGCUACCUGUCCCCUCACCUGUGCUACCUGUCCUGUACCUGUUCCCUCACCUGUCUCUCUGUGUGUAUCCCUCACUGACGUCACACUGUAUGCACUGCUCGUGAAAGACGUGAGUCUGGGUCACCUGUCCUACACCUGCCACCUGUCCCACCUGUCACCUGUGCCCUUGUCCAUGCCUUCACCUGUCCCCCUGUGUAUUCCCUCAUUGAUGUCGUGCUGCUCGUGCUGCUCAUCGAGGAUGUGAGUCUGCCUCACCUGUCCCACACUUGUCACCUCACCUGUCGCCUGUGCUACCUGUCACCUGUCGCUUCCCCUGUCACCUGUGCUACCUGUCCCCUUGUGUAUUCCCUCACUGUUGUCAUACUGCACACACUGCUCAUCAAGGAUGUGUGUCUGCCUCACCUUUCCUACACCUGUCACCUUACCUGUCACUUGUCCUAUCACCUCACCUGUCAUACCUGUCACCUGUCCUAUACCUGUUCCUUUGUGUAUCCCCUCACCAACAUCAUGCUGCACGCGCUGCUCAUCGAGGACGUGAGUCUGGGUCACCUGUCACCUGUCCUACCUGUCACCUGUCCUGCCUGUCACCUGUCCUCCCCA
This is a long non-coding RNA of Ficedula albicollis (Collared flycatcher), 2645 nucleotides long. The record is from Ensembl. NCBI's taxonomy places the organism in Eukaryota, Metazoa, Chordata, Aves, Passeriformes, Muscicapidae.